GGUAAGAAAGCUACCGUCUUAUAGUAUGAUGAUGGCUGAGGAGGAGCUUGCUCCCGGAUGCUUGUGGCGGACGGGGAGUAACACGUGGGUAACCUGCCUGUAAGACUGGGAUAACUCCGGGAAACCGGAGCUAAUACCGGAUAGUUCCUUGAACCGCAUGGUUCAAGGAUGAAAGACGGUUUCGGCUGUCACUUACAGAUGGACCCGCGGCGCAUUAGCUAGUUGGUGGGGUAAUGGCUCACCAAGGCGACGAUGCGUAGCCGACCUGAGAGGGUGAUCGGCCACACUGGGACUGAGACACGGCCCAGACUCCUACGGGAGGCAGCAGUAGGGAAUCUUCCGCAAUGGACGAAAGUCUGACGGAGCAACGCCGCGUGAGUGAUGAAGGUUUUCGGAUCGUAAAGCUCUGUUGUUAGGGAAGAACAAGUGCGAGAGUAACUGCUCGCACCUUGACGGUACCUAACCAGAAAGCCACGGCUAACUACGUGCCAGCAGCCGCGGUAAUACGUAGGUGGCAAGCGUUGUCCGGAAUUAUUGGGCGUAAAGGGCUCGCAGGCGGUUUCUUAAGUCUGAUGUGAAAGCCCCCGGCUCAACCGGGGAGGGUCAUUGGAAACUGGGAAACUUGAGUGCAGAAGAGGAGAGUGGAAUUCCACGUGUAGCGGUGAAAUGCGUAGAGAUGUGGAGGAACACCAGUGGCGAAGGCGACUCUCUGGUCUGUAACUGACGCUGAGGAGCGAAAGCGUGGGGAGCGAACAGGAUUAGAUACCCUGGUAGUCCACGCCGUAAACGAUGAGUGCUAAGUGUUAGGGGGUUUCCGCCCCUUAGUGCUGCAGCUAACGCAUUAAGCACUCCGCCUGGGGAGUACGGUCGCAAGACUGAAACUCAAAGGAAUUGACGGGGGCCCGCACAAGCGGUGGAGCAUGUGGUUUAAUUCGAAGCAACGCGAAGAACCUUACCAGGUCUUGACAUCCUCUGACAACCCUAGAGAUAGGGCUUUCCCUUCGGGGACAGAGUGACAGGUGGUGCAUGGUUGUCGUCAGCUCGUGUCGUGAGAUGUUGGGUUAAGUCCCGCAACGAGCGCAACCCUUGAUCUUAGUUGCCAGCAUUCAGUUGGGCACUCUAAGGUGACUGCCGGUGACAAACCGGAGGAAGGUGGGGAUGACGUCAAAUCAUCAUGCCCCUUAUGACCUGGGCUACACACGUGCUACAAUGGACAGAACAAAGGGCUGCAAGACCGCAAGGUUUAGCCAAUCCCAUAAAUCUGUUCUCAGUUCGGAUCGCAGUCUGCAACUCGACUGCGUGAAGCUGGAAUCGCUAGUAAUCGCGGAUCAGCAUGCCGCGGUGAAUACGUUCCCGGGCCUUGUACACACCGCCGUUCUCACCAGGAAAGUUCCAACAUGAUCAUGUCGCCGGAGAAGUCGUAACAAGGUAACCGACGUAGAGUGAUAUGC
This 1451-nucleotide ribosomal RNA is filed under the name Bacillus pumilus. RNAcentral describes it as "bacterial SSU rRNA". It matches the Rfam family "Bacterial small subunit ribosomal RNA". The record is from RNAcentral. Lineage: Bacteria; Bacillati; Bacillota; Bacilli; Caryophanales; Bacillaceae.